GACGAACGCUGGCGGCGUGCUUAACACAUGCAAGUCGAACGGUAAGGCCCUUCGGGGUACACGAGUGGCGAACGGGUGAGUAACACGUGGGUGAUCUGCCCUGCACUUUGGGAUAAGCCUGGGAAACUGGGUCUAAUACCGAAUAUGACCGCAUCCUGCAUGGGGUGUGGUGGAAAGCUUUUGCGGUGUGGGAUGGGCCCGCGGCCUAUCAGCUUGUUGGUGGGGUGAUGGCCUACCAAGGCGACGACGGGUAGCCGGCCUGAGAGGGUGACCGGCCACACUGGGACUGAGAUACGGCCCAGACUCCUACGGGAGGCAGCAGUGGGGAAUAUUGCACAAUGGGCGCAAGCCUGAUGCAGCGACGCCGCGUGGGGGAUGACGGCCUUCGGGUUGUAAACCUCUUUCAGUAGGGACGAAGCGCAAGUGACGGUACCUAUAGAAGAAGGACCGGCCAACUACGUGCCAGCAGCCGCGGUAAUACGUAGGGUCCGAGCGUUGUCCGGAAUUACUGGGCGUAAAGAGCUCGUAGGUGGUUUGUCACGUUGUUCGUGAAAACCCACAACUCAAUUGUGGGCGUGCGGGCGAUACGGGCAGACUAGAGUACUGCAGGGGAGACUGGAAUUCCUGGUGUAGCGGUGGAAUGCGCAGAU
This 650-nucleotide ribosomal RNA is filed under the name uncultured Actinomycetes bacterium. RNAcentral describes it as "bacterial SSU rRNA". It matches the Rfam family "Bacterial small subunit ribosomal RNA", at positions 28 to 695 of the family's 1533-position model. The record is from RNAcentral. Lineage: Bacteria; Bacillati; Actinomycetota; Actinomycetes.